RNAcentral lists this ribosomal RNA (398 nucleotides) under uncultured bacterium. RNAcentral's name for it is "bacterial SSU rRNA". It matches the Rfam family "Bacterial small subunit ribosomal RNA", at positions 30 to 426 of the family's 1533-position model. The record is from RNAcentral.
AUUGAACGCUGGCGGCAUGCCUUACACAUGCAAGUCGAACGGUAACGCGGGGGCAACCCUGGCGACGAGUGGCGAACGGGUGAGUAAUACAUCGGAACGUACCCAGUAGUGGGGGAUAGCUCGGCGAAAGCCGGAUUAAUACCGCAUACGACCUAUGGGUGAAAGCGGGGGAUCGCAAGACCUCGCGCUAUUGGAGCGGCCGAUGUCGGAUUAGCUAGUUGGUGAGGUAAAGGCUCACCAAGGCUACGAUCCGUAGCUGGUCUGAGAGGACGACCAGCCACACUGGGACUGAGACACGGCCCAGACUACUACGGGAGGCAGCAGUGGGGAAUUUUGGACAAUGGGCGCAAGCCUGAUCCAGCCAUGCCGCGUGUGUGAAGAAGGCCUUUUGGGGUUGU